Oncorhynchus keta (chum salmon) is the source of this 1429-nucleotide long non-coding RNA. RefSeq lists it as uncharacterized. The record is from RefSeq and is a predicted model, not a curated record. NCBI's taxonomy places the organism in Eukaryota, Metazoa, Chordata, Actinopteri, Salmoniformes, Salmonidae. The transcript has 8 exons.
CAGGACAGAGUCAGAGAGAAACAGGAGGGUGAGGAGUCACACAGGACAGAGUCAGAGAGAAACAGGAGGGUGAGGAGUCACAGGACAGAGUCAGAGAGAAACAGGAGGGUGAGGAGUCACAGGACAGAGUCAGAGAGAAACAGGAGGGUGAGGAGUCACAGGACAGAGUCAGAGAGAAACAGGAGGGUGAGGAGUCACACAGGACAGAGUCAGAGAGAAACAGGAGGGUGAGGAGUCACACAGGACAGAGUCAGAGAGAAACAGGAGGGUGAGGAGUCACAGGACAGAGUCAGAGAGAAACAGGAGGGUGAGGAGUCACAGGACAGAGUCAGAGAGAAACAGGAGGGUGAGGAGUCAAACAGGACAGAGUCAGAGAGAAACAGGAGGGUGAGGAGUCAAACAGGACAGAGUCAGAGAGAAACAGGAGGGUGAGGAGUCAAACAGGACAGAGUCAGAGAGAAACAGGAGGGUGAGGAGUCAAACAGGACAGAGUCAGAGAGAAACAGGAGGGUGAGGAGAGUCACAGGACAGAGUCAGAGAGAAACAGGAGGGUGAGGAGUCAAACAGGACAGAGUCAGAGAGAAACAGAGAGAAACAGGAGGGUGAGGAGUCACAGGACAGAGUCAGAGAGAAACAGGAGGGUGAGGAGUCACAGGACAGAGUCAGAGAGAAACAGGAGGGUGAGGAGUCAAACAGAGAGAAACAGGAGGGUGAGGAGUCACACAGGACAGAGUCAGAGAGAAACAGGAGGGUGAGGAGUCAAACAGGUAGAAACAGGAGGGUGAGGAGUCACAGGACAGUCAGAGAGAAACAGGACAGAGUCAGAGAGAAACAGGAGGGUGAGGAGUCAAACAGAGAGAAACAGGAGGGUGAGGAGUCACACAGGACAGAGUCAGAGAGAAACAGGAGGGUGAGGAGUCAAACAGGUAGAAACAGGAGGGUGAGGAGUCACAGGACAGUCAGAGAGAAACAGGACAGAGUCAGAGAGAAACAGGAGGGUGAGGAGUCAAACAGGACAGAGUCAGAGAGAAACAGGAGGGUGAGGAGUCAAACAGGACAGAGUCAGAGAGAAACAGGAGGGUGAGGAGUCAAACAGGACAGAGUCAGAGAGAAACAGGAGGGUGAGGAGUCAAACAGGACAGAGUCAGAGAGAAACAGGAGGGUGAGGAGUCAAACAGGACAGAGUCAGAGAGAAACAGGAGGGUGAGGAGUCAAACAGGACAGAGUCAGAGAGAAACAGGAGGGUGAGGAGUCAAACAGGACAGAGUCAGAGAGAAACAGGAGGGUGAGGAGUCAAACAGGACAGAGUCAGAGAGAAACAGGAGGGUGAGGAGUCACAGGACAGAGUCAGAGAGAAACAGGAGGGUGAGGAGUCACAGGACAGAGUCAGAGAGAAACAGGAGGGUGAGGAGUCACAGGACAGAGUCAG